RNAcentral lists this transfer RNA (68 nucleotides) under Acropyga sauteri. RNAcentral's name for it is "tRNA-Gly". The record is from RNAcentral. Lineage: Eukaryota; Metazoa; Arthropoda; Insecta; Hymenoptera; Formicidae.
AUUUAUAUAGUAUAAAAAUAUUACAAUUAAUUUCCAAUUAAAAAAUUUAAUUUAAUUUAAUAUAAAUA